RNAcentral lists this long non-coding RNA (2134 nucleotides) under Citrus maxima (pomelo). RNAcentral's name for it is "long non-coding RNA (CMAX_LNC001287)". Lineage: Eukaryota; Viridiplantae; Streptophyta; Magnoliopsida; Sapindales; Rutaceae. The record is from RNAcentral.
GAAAACUAAUUUAUAGUAGCUAACCUUACAAGUCUUUGAUUCCUAGCCAACAAUAUCAGCUAGAUUAUAGUAAAAUAAAACAAGAAGAAAUAUUUAAAGAUAACUUAGAGGCCGAAUCCAAAUCAAACAUGACCACCACACUUUGAUUCUCUUCCAAACAGGAAACGAAUAUUUUGACGUGGUAAUUCUCUUGCUCUCGUUUCGACAUUCAAUAAACUCAUCCUGCACAUGAAACACGGUCUGCAUGAAGCCAUGCAUGGCUUGCAUGAGUAAUUUGCAUGAGCACAGCUCAAACGUACCCUUUGAACUUGUAGUUAGGUUUUGGUGCUCUUACUGAUCUCCUUGGCUCCUUAUCAAUGCCCCCUCGUGGAAGAGGACCCUUGUCCUCAAGGGUCAUAUUUUUAAAUAGAUUCAUUGGUUCCUUUAUGAUUCAAUAAGGAAUGAAAUGAAUUUUUUAGUUUGGCACGGUCUGUUGGGGUAACCUCCGCAGCAAUUUCAGUUUCUUCUUACAUAAUAUCUCUCGCCUUAGUACUUCCUUCAAGCAACAAUAUUUGAGGACCCAUACAUUUGUGACCUACAGUAAACUUCGCAGGGCAGUUAAAACAAAGUCCUUGGGCACGACGUCUCUGCAUCUCGUCCCACGUCAAGCGUUUGACAUUAGAUGUUGAUGUUCCGCUAACUGGGAAUGGCUGAGAAAACUUGCGUUGGACUUGGUCUGCUUGCAUACGCGCCAAACUGAUAGCUUCUUUCAAAGUCUUUGGCUUGAACAUCCUGAUGCCAUCAGAUAUCUCAGGCUUAAGACCUCCCAUAAAAGUUCCAACUAAAGCUUUUGGCGUCCACCCAUGAACCUGAUUGCCCAAUCUCUCAAAUUCUCAUUGAUAAUCACGUAAGGUGCCCACUUGCCGCACCUUGGAUAGAGCUUCAUCAAAAUCUUCGCACUCAGUAGGUCCGAAACGUGCCCAUAAUUCUUCUUCAAAAUCUGUCCAUGUAACCAUUCUUCCCUCCUCUUUAUAAGCUUUGUGCAGCCACUGCCACCAUUGGUUGGCUUCACCUUCAAGAUGGAAUGAUGCCAAUGCAACCUUUUGUGUCUCCGUUGUUCCCUGGUAUUCAAAGAAUUGGGAACUUUGCUAAACCACUCCGUAGGAUCAUCUCCAGCGUACCUUGGAAAUUCAAGCUUAGCCAUUUUUGAGGAGAAAAUCAUUCGGCUUCCACUAGCUUCCUCCUUGGUAUGCUCCUUGUAAGAAUGGCUAGGGUGAUUAUUGACGUUAUGGCUGGACCCUUCCUUGUUUGAAAAGAAAGCCUCGGACAUACGAUUGAUGGUCUCCUCGAGCUGAUGCAGUUUGUCAUUAAUGCCACUCCAUUUGUUGCAAUCCAUCUUGAAGUCCAUCAAGCCUCGCUUCUAAAUUUUCAAUCCUUUCUUUGUUAGUUGCCAUGAGAACAAUAAAGUUUUUGAACAAGAUAAUGCGGCUCUGAUACCAAUUGAUAGGUCCCAGUCAGAUGCUCGCUAACAAUGACUAAAAAGAUGAUAACUUUGUUCUGCUUUUGGUGAGAACGACCUGAGAUAAUUAGGUUUGAUAAUUGCUGAUCUUUUAUUCGCAGCGGAAAACUAAUUUAUAGUAGCUAACCUUACAAGUCUUUGAUUCCUAGCCAACAAUAUCAGCUAGAUUAUAGUAAAAUAAAACAAGAAGAAAUAUUUAAAGAUAACUUAGAGGCCGAAUCCAAAUCAAACAUGACCACCACACUUUGAUUCUCUUCCAAACAGGAAACGAAUAUUUUGACGUGGUAAUUCUCCUGCUCUCGUUUCGACAUUCAAUAAACUCAUCCUGCACAUGAAACACGGUCUGCAUGAAGCCAUGCAUGGCUUGCAUGAGCACAGCUCAAACGUACCCUUUGAACUUGUAGUUAGGUUUUGGUGCUCUUACUGAUCUCCUUGGCUCCUUAUCAUCCAUCAACCUCGUUUACCUCUGUAAAUGGUUCAAAUGUCCUCCUCUUGCAACAAAUCGAGCAGCCACUAGAAUCAUUACCAUAAAUAAGCCAGUCCAAUGCCUUGUCAGCGCCAAAUAUGAUAAUUUGACAGUUGACAGGAGAUCAGCAAACUACCAACCCUCAAUUUGGGACCAUGAUUUUUUGCAGU